CUUCGGGUUAAAGGAUUGUCACCAAUUAAUGAUUCCAAUCUUAAAUUUGAUUGUGUCAAAAAACUUUUAGGGGAAAUUGUUCCUGUCAUUUCUGAUCUCUCAUUCCCAAAAAAAACGCAUGUAUGAGGUGAACAAUAGAAUGUACUUGAUCAGCACAAUUCCAUGAGCAUUUUAGAUCUCACAAAUGGAAAACUUUUUAAUUUUUCUGUGACUUUUUUUUCACGACAAAGUCGUAAAUGUUUUAAAAAUAAAAGGUAAACACAAGAUAUAAAUAUAAAGGACACAGAUCCUAAAUUUGCUAAAUUUAAAAAAUGGGCUGCUUAAAAAAAUAUUUUUUAAUCAAGCUUAUGCCUAAUGUAUGACAUACAACUGAAGAAGACGUGUAUGGAUGCUCCAGCAAAAGGAUUACAAACCGGGAUUUUGCGCCAACCGUCACGUGCUCUGAUGUACAGCUCGCCAUUCUUCUCAGACACAUAGGCCAAAGUUCCCUCUGCAGCGCGGUGUGUCUCUCUGAGCAUCUCACCGGGCUGGCAUGACCCGGAGUUCCUGGUGGACCAGGGGGACCGGGAGGGCCCGGGACACUGAUUGCAGCUGGCAACAGCACAUAGGCGGCGGCUGGACCUGGAGGCCCUGCAGGGCCAGGAGAACCCCGUGGUCCAGGUCGUCCAAUCCCAGGAACUCCAGGCAAACCAGGGGAACCUGCUGGCCCUGGAGGGCCAACGACAGACUCACCCUUCGGACCCUGAAGAUAAAAUCUUAA
This 760-nucleotide long non-coding RNA is filed under the name Oryzias sinensis (Chinese medaka). Its description in RNAcentral is "lncRNA (ENSOSIG00000010047.1)". Lineage: Eukaryota; Metazoa; Chordata; Actinopteri; Beloniformes; Adrianichthyidae. The record is from RNAcentral.